Molecule: regulatory RNA element, 95 nt
Organism: Vogesella sp. LIG4
Lineage: Bacteria; Pseudomonadati; Pseudomonadota; Betaproteobacteria; Neisseriales; Chromobacteriaceae
Rfam family: Glycine riboswitch aptamer
About the family: This family represents the bacterial glycine riboswitch.
Source: Rfam
UCGGCUGAAUCUGGAGAGCGGCGCAUAUCGCGCCCACCGAAGGGGCUAACGGCGCAAUGCCGGAAAAUCUCAGGUGCAUGGACAGAGGGGUGUGA